Molecule: long non-coding RNA, 1720 nt
Organism: Homo sapiens (human)
Lineage: Eukaryota; Metazoa; Chordata; Mammalia; Primates; Hominidae
Product: long intergenic non-protein coding RNA 963
Source: Ensembl
AAGCCUCGGCAGGUACAGUUCCUCCCUCAGGGCCCAGGACACAGUGAGCAUACAAUAGACAUUAGCUGCUGUGGUGUCUUGAUUUCAAGCCCAGUGCAGAUGCAUCUGACUUACGAAACUUCAGUGACACCUGCUCUGUGCCAGACACUGAAGAUGGAGCAGUGAACAGCACUGACCCAGCCUGUCCUCCUGUUGCCUGCAGGCCAGACGGAGUCUCACUCUGUCACCAGGCUGGAGUACAGUGGUGUGAUCUCGGCUCACUGCAACCUCCGCCUCCCAGGUUCAAGCGAUUCUCCUGCCUCAGCCUCUCAAGUAGCUGAGAUUACAGACGUGUGUCACCAUGCCCUGUUAAUUUUUGUUUGUUUGUUUUGUUUUUUGUUUUGUUUUGUUUCGUUUUUUGUUUUUUUUUUUUGAGACGGAGUCUUGCUCUGUCGCCCAGGCUGGAGUGCAGUGGCCCCGAUCUCGGCUCACCGCAAGCUCCGCCUCGCGGGUUCAUGCCAUUCUCCGGCCUCAGCCUCCCGAGUAGCUGGGACUACAGGCAUCCGCCACCACACCCAGCUAAUUUUUUGUAUUUUUUUUAGUAGAGACGGGGUUUCACUGUGUUAGCCAGGAUGGUCUCGAUCCCCUGACCUUGUGAUCCACCCAAGGCCUCGGCCUCCCAAAGUGCUGGGAUUACAGGCAUGAGCCACCGUGCCCGGUCAAUUUUUAUAUUUUUUGUAGAGACAGGGUUUCACCAUGUUGGCCAGGCUGGUGUCGAACUCCCGACCUCAGGUGAUUGUCGGCCUUGGCCUCCCAAAGUGCUGGGAUUACAGGCGUGAGCCACCGCGCCCAGCCGGUGGGCAGCCAGUUGUGUUCCGGGAGGAGGAGGACACCCUGGAAAGACAGUGGGGCCAGACACUGAACUGCCUUUGGAAGCAAGUAGGAGCAACAGCGAAGGUUUGCUGGCUCAGAAGCAAGGUCUCGCUGUGUUACCCUGGCUGGAGUGCAGUGGCUACUUACAGGCAUGAUCAUAGCAUACUGCAGCCUCGAACUCCUGGACUAGAGCAGUUCUCCUGCCUCAGCCUCCAGAGCAGCUGGGACUGCAGACACGCACCACAGAGCCCAGCCUGAGUCAUUUUGAUUCUGUAACUGGCUUCCUCUCGGCGGGCAGGCUCACACCCUCCACCCCCAGCUGGAGAUGGAAGGAGGAUGCUCACCGCCCAUUCCUCAUGCAGGCCAUCGAUGGAAAUGUCAGACAGUGCGAGUCCACGCCUGAACACUUCUGGGGUCCGCUCUGGGACUGACACUGGCAGAUCCAUCGUGGCACCCGAGCUCUGUGAGGGCAAGACUUUGUUCGGUUGUGGGCUAUGCCCCCAACCCCUCGGACAGUGCCUGCACAGGUGGACAUUUUUGUUGGAUGAAGGAUUUUCUGUUAAAUGUGUCUGGCACACACAGAAAAACAAAGCCCAGCAGAUGCCGUUCCAUUGUUUGCUGACUUUCAUUGAUUCUAUGAGAAGUCUGCAGUCUUUUGCAGCGUUGUUUUCCUAUGUAUAAUUGUCUCCUCCCACCCCACUCACCCCAGCUGCUUUCCACAUUCUCUCUCUUUGAUUUUCAGCAGUCUGCCCAUGAUGUGCCUAAAUAGGACUUUCUUUGCAUUCAUCUUGGCUGGGGCUCACUGAACUUUCUGAAUCUGUAGAUUAAUUUUCUUUUUUCAAUAAACCUUGGAAUAUUUUCAGCAUAA